Molecule: ribosomal RNA, 427 nt
Filed under: uncultured bacterium
Lineage: Bacteria
Description: bacterial SSU rRNA
Rfam family: Bacterial small subunit ribosomal RNA
Source: RNAcentral
UGGUGGAUUUUGGCCAAUGGGGGCAACCCUGAUCCAGCCAUGCCGCGUGCGGGAAGAAGGCCUUCGGGUUGUAAACCGCUUUUGUCAGGGAAGAAACGCUCUGAGCUAAUACCUCGGAGUAAUGACGGUACCUGAAGAAUAAGCACCGGCUAACUACGUGCCAGCAGCCGCGGUAAUACGUAGGGUGCAAGCGUUAAUCGGAAUUACUGGGCGUAAAGCGUGCGCAGGCGGUGAUGUAAGACAGAUGUGAAAUCCCCGGGCUCAACCUGGGAACUGCAUUUGUGACUGCAUCGCUGGAGUGCGGCAGAGGGGGAUGGAAUUCCGCGUGUAGCAGUGAAAUGCGUAGAUAUGACCUAGAACACCGAAAGCGAAGGCAGCUAACGAAUCUUAUAUUGACGCUAAUGGACGAAAGCGUGGGUAGCGAACA